This is a long non-coding RNA of Lepus europaeus (European hare), 427 nucleotides long. RefSeq lists it as uncharacterized. NCBI's taxonomy places the organism in Eukaryota, Metazoa, Chordata, Mammalia, Lagomorpha, Leporidae. The transcript has 4 exons. The record is from RefSeq and is a predicted model, not a curated record.
UGGUGAGGAGAUGCCUUAUAAGAAUAAAGAAAUCCAAGCUUGGAAUGAAAGCAACAGAUUCACAGGAAGUCCCUAUGAAAUCUAUAUUAAUGGGCUGUGAAGAUCCAAAUCCUUUGACGAGUUGAUCAUGUUGUAGUCUGUAUACCAAGGUGCCGCUGGGAAAUUACAAGUUGUUUUCACACUUCAGCCAUUGAGAGGGAAUCAAUUCAGACUCCAUCAAAGAGCCAGUAACGUCUUCUGACCAGAUGUUUGAUAACACAUCAUGAAUUUCUGCCCACGUCACAGCCUGACAACAUCGCAUCUCACAACAGCUGCAGAAAGUGGUUCCAGGAAGGCCAGUCACAAAACACCUCGCCAUUUUGAUUACUGAUCCUACUCCCUUCUAGAAUAAGUUGCUGUCAGAAGCCCACGUUGGCAGGAAGCUGGG